GCUGGUAGAGGGGGACGCCCUUCUCCGCAGCACCAGCCUCCGCGACGGCAAUGGAGACACCGAGGAUGGCGUUCGCGCCGAGCUUGCCUUUGUUCGGAGUGCCGUCAAGCUUGAUGAGGAAGUCGUCGAUCUCCUUCUGAGCAGUAACCUGGAGGCCAGACUUGACGAGCUCAACGGCGAUGAUGUCGUUAACGUUCGCGACCGCCUUGGAAACACCUUUUCCGACGUAUGCGUUCUUG
Molecule: unclassified non-coding RNA, 239 nt
Filed under: Hevea brasiliensis (rubber tree)
Lineage: Eukaryota; Viridiplantae; Streptophyta; Magnoliopsida; Malpighiales; Euphorbiaceae
Source: RNAcentral